Molecule: ribosomal RNA, 492 nt
Filed under: uncultured bacterium
Lineage: Bacteria
Description: partial 16S ribosomal RNA
Rfam family: Bacterial small subunit ribosomal RNA
Source: RNAcentral
AGUGAACGCUGGCGGUAGGCCUAACACAUGCAAGUCGAACGGCAGCACAGUAAGAGCUUGCUCUUACGGGUGGCGAGUGGCGGACGGGUGAGGAAUACAUCGGAAUCUACUUUUUCGUGGGGGAUAACGUAGGGAAACUUACGCUAAUACCGCAUACGACCUACGGGUGAAAGCAGGGGAUCUUCGGACCUUGCGCGAUUGAAUGAGCCGAUGUCGGAUUAGCUAGUUGGCGGGGUAAAGGCCCACCAAGGCGACGAUCCGUAGCUGGUCUGAGAGGAUGAGCACACACACUGGAAGGGGAAAGGGGCCCAGCCCCCGGGGGGAGGAGCCGGUGGGAAUUUUGGAACAAGGGGCGAAGGCCUGACCCACCAAUCCCGGGGGGGGGAAGAGGCCGUUGGGGUUGUAAGCCCUUUUUGUGGGAAAAAAAAAGAAGGAGUUUAAUCCCCCGCUGUUCGGAGGUACCCAAAAAAAAAAGCCCCGGCAAACUUCGUC